UCAGUCCUGGGAUGUACGUUAAAGCCUGUAAAUUCAACCUACAGAAGACAUCCGGGAGCUCGUGUUCCUUUAUGGAUGAAAUGCCUCCAAAGAGAGGACUUCAGAAGUAAAGGAUAGAUCACCCACUUAGGUGAGUGGCGGGUGUGAAUUUAUGGCGGACGGCAUUCUGGGGAGUUA
RNAcentral lists this non-coding RNA (177 nucleotides) under Crassaminicella thermophila. Its description in RNAcentral is "6S / SsrS RNA". It matches the Rfam family "6S / SsrS RNA". Rfam says of the family: E. coli 6S RNA was the first non coding RNA to be sequenced, but its function was unknown until recently. It consists of 184 nucleotides that fold into an extended hairpin structure with a large single-stranded internal bulge. Lineage: Bacteria; Bacillati; Bacillota; Clostridia; Eubacteriales; Clostridiaceae. The record is from Rfam by way of RNAcentral.